UCCUUGCGCGGAGGAAGGAGAGCAGGGUCGGGGUCAGCAUCAGUUACCCUCGCAAUCCCCCCCGUAAACGGUGUGUGUUAGCCGUGGGAAAUCCCUUUCACCCAGCAGCUAAAGCCACCCACACACCGCCCGGGGAGUCGGGUCGCGAGGUUAAAACUAAAUUGAAGGGACGCGACCGGCCCAAGUAGUCGAGCAAGUGGUUUAAUUCGAAGAGACGCGCAGAACGUUACCAACACCUGACAUGUUUGUCGCGAAUUUAAGAGAUUAAAGUCUUCGGUUCGGCCGGACGAAACACAGGUGGUGCAUGGCUGUCGUCAGCUCGCGUCGUAAGAAAUGGGUUAAGUCCCGCAACGAGCGCAACCCUCACUUUUAUUUGCCAUCAUUUAGUCGGGCACUCUGAAAGAACUGCCAGUGAUAAGCCAAGGAAGGUGGGGAUGACGUCAAGUCCUCAUGGCCCUUACGUGUUGGGCUACACACGUGCUACAAUGGUAUGUACAACAGGAAGCAAAACGGCGACGUUAAGCAAAUCCUUAAAAGAUACCUCAGUUCGGAUUGCACUUUGCAACUCGAGUGCAUGAAGCUGGAAUUACUAGUAAUCCAAAUCAGAAUGUUGCGGUGAAUACGCUCCCGGGCCUUGUACACUCCGCCC
RNAcentral lists this ribosomal RNA (649 nucleotides) under uncultured bacterium. Its description in RNAcentral is "bacterial SSU rRNA". It matches the Rfam family "Bacterial small subunit ribosomal RNA", at positions 738 to 1395 of the family's 1533-position model. The record is from RNAcentral.